RNAcentral lists this long non-coding RNA (408 nucleotides) under Gossypium raimondii (Peruvian cotton). RNAcentral describes it as "long non-coding RNA (GRAI_LNC004840)". Lineage: Eukaryota; Viridiplantae; Streptophyta; Magnoliopsida; Malvales; Malvaceae. The record is from RNAcentral.
CACAAACAGUGUUCACCUCGUCAUAACGGCAAUCAAAAGGAGAACCGGUGACGGACGCGACGGAGGUCAAAGCACAUGGUGUGAUGCAAGGGAGACAAAUCGUGGGAGAAACCCAUGGCACACAACCAGCAGCAAAAUUGGAGCCACACCCUAGCCAUCGUUUCAAUGCCAAAAGUCUACUGAAGGUUUCGAUAACCCCAUCUAAUGGAGUAUUAGAUUCAACCAAACAUUCAGUAGUGUUUCAAGAAUCUGGUACCCUUGGGGAAAAACAGGAGGAGCAUUUAACACAUAAAAAUGCUAUGGGGUGACGAAAGAAUACCUUUAUCGUGCGCACCAGUGGGGGAAAAUUGAAUGGAAACAAGAAGGGCCAAAAACUCAAAAGAACUAUUUGAGAUAAAGGAAGCCCCU